UUCUUUCUUUGCUGUUACAACUUACAAUUAUGCCUCUCACUCUCACUCUUUCGCAAUUCUGAACCUUUUAGCUCAUCACUUUGUUGCAUUAAAACAUAGAGGAAGAGUUUAAGUCAAUCUGCCUUCGAACAAAGGCAAGAGCCACCCUCGAUGCAGUUGAGGAAGUCAUAGAAGAAAGAGAUCUCGAUCCCUUAUUUUCAGACAGGUAU
Molecule: non-coding RNA, 209 nt
Organism: Arachis ipaensis
Lineage: Eukaryota; Viridiplantae; Streptophyta; Magnoliopsida; Fabales; Fabaceae
Source: RefSeq, a predicted model, not a curated record